UAAGAAGGGGGGUAGCGUUGCUCGGAAUCACUGGGCGUAAAGCGCACGUAGGCGGAUUACUAAGUCAGGGGUGAAAUCUUGGAGCCCAAUUCCAGAACUGCCUUUGAUACUGGCGACCUUGAGUCCGGGAGAGGUGAGUGGAACUGCGAGUAUAGAGGUGAAAUUCGUAGAUAUUCGCAAGAACACCAGUGGCGAAGGCGGCUCACUGGCCCGGUACUGACGCUGAGGUGCGAAAGCGUGGGGAGCAAACAGG
This 253-nucleotide ribosomal RNA is filed under the name uncultured bacterium. Its description in RNAcentral is "partial 16S ribosomal RNA". It matches the Rfam family "Bacterial small subunit ribosomal RNA", at positions 524 to 776 of the family's 1533-position model. The record is from RNAcentral.